UACGGAGGUGGCAAGCGUUGCUCGGAAUCACUGGGCGUAAAGGGCGCGUAGGUGGUUUGCCAAGUCGGGGUUGAAAUCUUUCGGCUUAACCGGAAAAGUGGCUUCGAUACUGGCAAGCUGGAGGGAGGUAGGGGCGGAUGGAACUUCCGGUGGAGCGGUGAAAUGUGUUGAUAUCGGAAGGAACGCCGGUGGCGAAAGCGAUCCGCUGGACCUCUUCUGACACUGAGGCGCGAAAGCCAGGGGAGCAAACGGG
RNAcentral lists this ribosomal RNA (253 nucleotides) under uncultured bacterium. Its description in RNAcentral is "partial 16S ribosomal RNA". It matches the Rfam family "Bacterial small subunit ribosomal RNA", at positions 524 to 776 of the family's 1533-position model. The record is from RNAcentral.